This 351-nucleotide small RNA is filed under the name Pongo abelii (Sumatran orangutan). RNAcentral describes it as "processed transcript". Lineage: Eukaryota; Metazoa; Chordata; Mammalia; Primates; Hominidae. The record is from RNAcentral.
ACCCUCAACUUUGUAGAGCAUUCCAUUAGUUGCAAGGAAAAAUUGAAUAAAAAAAAUAAAAUUGGAGCUGCCUUUACUGAUGAUGGCUUUGCCAUGGGUGUGGCUUACAUUCUAAAGCUUUUGGAUCAGUACCGAGAGUUUGACUCACUUCACUGGUUCCAGUCUGUUAGAGAGAAAUACCUGAAGGAGAUAAGAGCAGUUGCUAAGCAACAGAAUGUGCAGUCGGCCAGUCAAGAUGAAAAACUCUUACAAACCAUGAAUCUCACUCAGAAGCGACUAGAUGUCUAUCUACAGUGCAAGAAUUUUCUUCAGAGCAGACAAGACUGCGGCUGAAGAAAACCAAGAAAAGAA